AGAAUAAUAGUUUAAAAAAAAUUUUUAAUUUGCAUUUAAAAGAUAUUUAUAAUUUAUUUUAA
RNAcentral lists this transfer RNA (62 nucleotides) under Psyttalia concolor. Its description in RNAcentral is "tRNA-Ala". The record is from RNAcentral. Lineage: Eukaryota; Metazoa; Arthropoda; Insecta; Hymenoptera; Braconidae.